UGCCAGCCGCCGCGGUAAUACGGAGGGUGCAAGCGUUGUUCGGAAUUAUUGGGCGUAAAGCGCGUGUAGGCGGUUCGUUAAGUCUGAUGUGAAAGCCCGGGGCUCAACCCCGGAAGUGCAUUGGAAACAGCAAGACUUGAAUACGGUAGAGGAGAGAGGAAUUCCUGGUGUAGAGGUGAAAUUCGUAGAUAUCAGGAGGAACACCGAUGGCGAAGGCAUCUCUCUGGGUCGAUAUUGACGCUGAGGUGCGAAAGCGUGGGGAGCAAACAGGAUUAGAUA
Molecule: ribosomal RNA, 279 nt
Filed under: uncultured bacterium
Lineage: Bacteria
Description: partial 16S ribosomal RNA
Rfam family: Bacterial small subunit ribosomal RNA
Source: RNAcentral